RNAcentral lists this ribosomal RNA (465 nucleotides) under uncultured Enterobacter sp. RNAcentral describes it as "bacterial SSU rRNA". It matches the Rfam family "Bacterial small subunit ribosomal RNA", at positions 338 to 795 of the family's 1533-position model. Lineage: Bacteria; Pseudomonadati; Pseudomonadota; Gammaproteobacteria; Enterobacterales; Enterobacteriaceae. The record is from RNAcentral.
CCUACGGGGGGCAGCAGUGGGGAAUAUUGCACAAUGGGCGCAAGCCUGAUGCAUCCAUGCCGCGUGUAUGAAGAAGGCCUUCGGGUUGUAAAGUACUUUCAGCGGGGAGGAAGGUGUUGAGGUUAAUAACCUCAGCAAUUGACGUUACCCGCAAAAGAAGCACCGGCUAACUCCGUGCCAGCAGCCGCGGUAAUACGGAGGGUGCAAGCGUUAAUCGGAAUUACUGGGCGUAAAGCGCACGCAGGCGGUCUGUCAAGUCGGAUGUGAAAUCCCCGGGCUCAACCUGGGAACUGCAUUCGAAACUGGCAGGCUGGAGUCUUGUAGAGGGGGGUAGAAUUCCAGGUGUACCGGUGAAAUGCGUAGAGAUCUGGAGGAAUACCGGUGGCGAAGGCGGCCCCCUGGACAAAGACUGACGCUCAUGUGCGAAAGCGUGGGGAGCAAACAGGAUUACAUACCCUAAUAGUC